Molecule: ribosomal RNA, 468 nt
Filed under: uncultured bacterium
Lineage: Bacteria
Description: partial 16S ribosomal RNA
Rfam family: Bacterial small subunit ribosomal RNA
Source: RNAcentral
GACGAACGCUGGCGGCGUGCUUAACACAUGCAAGUCGAACGGAAAGGCCCUGCUUUUGUGGGGUGCUCGAGUGGCGAACGGGUGAGUAACACGUGAGUAACCUGCCCUUGACUUUGGGAUAACUUCAGGAAACUGGGGCUAAUACCGGAUAGGAGCUCCUGCUGCAUGGUGGGGGUUGGAAAGUUUCGGCGGUUGGGGAUGGACUCGCGGCUUAUCAGCUUGUUGGUGGGGUAGUGGCUUACCAAGGCUUUGACGGGUAGCCGGCCUGAGAGGGUGACCGGCCACAUUGGGACUGAGAUACGGCGCAGACUCCUACGGGAGGCAGCAGUGGGGAAUAUUGCACAAUGGGGGGAAGUCUGAUGCAGCAACGCCGCGUGCGGGAUGACGGCCUACGGGUUGAAAACCGCUUUCGCAUGUGACGAAGCGUGAGUGACGGUAAUGGGUAAAGAAGCACCGGCUAACUACGUG